AGUGAACGCUGGCGGUAGGCCUAACACAUGCAAGUCGAACAGCAGCACAGUAAGAGCUUGCUCUUACGGGUGGCGAGUGGCGGACGGGUGAGGAAUACAUCGGAAUCUACUUUUUCGUGGGGGAUAACGUAGGGAAACUUACGCUAAUACCGCAUACGACCUACGGGUGAAAGCAGGGGAUCUUCUGACCUUGCGCGAUUGAAUGAGCCGAUGUCGGAUUAGCUAGUUGGCGGGGUAACGGCCCACCAAGGCGACGAUCCGUAGCUGGUCUGAGAGGCUGAUCAGCCACACUGGAACUGAGACACGGUCCAGACUCCUACGGGAGGCAGCAGUGGGGAAUAUUGGACAAUGGGCGCAAGCCUGAUCCAGCCAUACCGCGUGGGUGAAGAAGGCCUUCGGGUUGUAAAGCCCUUUUGUUGGGAAAGAAAAGCAGCAGGUUAAUACCCCGCUGUUCUGACGGUACCCAAAGAAUAAGCACCGGCUAACUUCGUG
This 492-nucleotide ribosomal RNA is filed under the name uncultured bacterium. Its description in RNAcentral is "partial 16S ribosomal RNA". It matches the Rfam family "Bacterial small subunit ribosomal RNA", at positions 29 to 507 of the family's 1533-position model. The record is from RNAcentral.